CCUACGGGGCGCAGCAGUGGGGAAUAUUGGACAAUGGGCGAAAGCCUGAUCCAGCCAUGCCGCGUGUGUGAAGAAGGCCUUCGGGUUGUAAAGCACUUUCAGUGGGGAAGAAAGCCUUGGGGCUAAUACCCUCGAGGAAGGACAUCACCCACAGAAGAAGCACCGGCUAACUCCGUACCAGCAGCCGCGGUAAUACGGAGGGUGCGAGCGUUAAUCGGAAUUACUGGGCGUAAAGCGCGCGUAGGCGGUCUGAUAAGCCGGUUGUGAAAGCCCCGGGCUCAACCUGGGAACGGCAUCCGGAACUGUCAGGCUAGAGUGCAGGAGAGGAAGGUAGAAUUCCCGGUGUAGCGGUGAAAUGCGUAGAGAUCGGGAGGAAUACCAGUGGCGAAGGCGGCCUUCUGGACUGACACUGACGCUGAGGUGCGAAAGCGUGGGUAGCAAACAGGAUUGGAUACCCGUGUAGUC
RNAcentral lists this ribosomal RNA (465 nucleotides) under Vreelandella stevensii. Its description in RNAcentral is "partial 16S ribosomal RNA". It matches the Rfam family "Bacterial small subunit ribosomal RNA", at positions 338 to 795 of the family's 1533-position model. The record is from RNAcentral. Lineage: Bacteria; Pseudomonadati; Pseudomonadota; Gammaproteobacteria; Oceanospirillales; Halomonadaceae.